GCUGGGCGCAGUGGUGCGUGCCUGUAAUCCCAGCUACUCGGGAGGCUGAGGUGGGAGGAUCGCUUGAGUCCAGGAGUUCUGGGCUGUUGCACUCUGCUGAUCGGGUGUCUGCACUAAGUUCAGCUUCAAUAUGGUGACCUCCCAGGAGCGGGCGACCACCAGGUUGGCAAAGGAGGGGUGAACCAGCCCAGGUCACAAAUGGAGCAGGUCAAAACUCCCAUGCUAAUCAGUAGUGCUAUCUCGCCUGUGAAUAGCCACUGGACUCCAGCCUGGGCAACACAGUGAGACCCCCAUCUCU
This is an unclassified non-coding RNA of Callithrix jacchus (white-tufted-ear marmoset), 298 nucleotides long. It matches the Rfam family "Metazoan signal recognition particle RNA". Rfam says of the family: The signal recognition particle (SRP) is a universally conserved ribonucleoprotein. It is involved in the co-translational targeting of proteins to membranes. Lineage: Eukaryota; Metazoa; Chordata; Mammalia; Primates; Cebidae. The record is from Ensembl.